RNAcentral lists this ribosomal RNA (343 nucleotides) under uncultured archaeon. RNAcentral's name for it is "partial 16S ribosomal RNA". It matches the Rfam family "Archaeal small subunit ribosomal RNA", at positions 1108 to 1445 of the family's 1478-position model. The record is from RNAcentral.
CCACUUGUUAAANUGGAGGAAGNAGGGGGCAAACGGUAGGUCAGNNAUGCCCNGANUCUCCCGGGCUNCACNNCCGUUACAAAGGGNCAGGACAAUGGGCUUUGGACACCGAAAGGNGGAGGCCAAUCCNUAAACCUGCUCCGUAAUUCGGAUUGAGGGGCUGCAAUUCGCCCUCAUGAAGNUGGAAUACGUAGUAAUCGGGGGUCAACAUCCCGCGGUGAAUAUGCCCUUGCUCNUUGCACACACCGCCCGUCAAACCNCCUUAGUUGGGUCUGGACGAGGGUUUGUCUUCUGACACGCUCGAAUCUGGGUUCAGCGAGGAGGGUUAAGUCGUAACAAGGUA